UAGGCCUUUUUAGGCUGGUGCUGUGCUUUAAGGCUAGCACGGAAGGGUAAAGUAAGUCUCCAUGAAACUCCUCUUUGGAUGCUGUCUAGAGUUAUAGCU
RNAcentral lists this small nucleolar RNA (99 nucleotides) under Echinops telfairi (small Madagascar hedgehog). Its description in RNAcentral is "Small nucleolar RNA SNORA26 (ENSETEG00000025673.1)". It matches the Rfam family "Small nucleolar RNA SNORA26". From Rfam's summary of the family: The snoRNA HBI-6 belong to the H/ACA family of snoRNAs, guiding the pseudouridylation of position U4522 if the 28S rRNA. HBI-6 is the human orthologue of mouse MBI-6 snoRNA. The record is from RNAcentral. Lineage: Eukaryota; Metazoa; Chordata; Mammalia; Afrosoricida; Tenrecidae.